UGGCGGCGUGGAUAAGACAUGCAAGUCGAGCGGGACAAAUCGGGUAGCAAUAUUCGAGAUGUUCAGCGGCGCAAGGGUGCGUAACACGUGGGCAAUAUUCCCUGAAGUUCGGGAUAACUCCGAGAAAUCGGAGCUAAUACCGGAUGUGAAGCCCGCUAGGCAUCUAGCGGAAUUGAAAGUUGGGGACCGUAAGGCCUGACGCUUUAGGAUUAGCCCGCGGCCUAUCAGCUAGUUGGUGAGGUAAUGGCUCACCAAGGCUAAGACGGGUAGCUGGUCUGAGAGGACGACCAGUCACACUGGAACUGAGACACGGUCCAGACACCUACGGGUGGCAGCAGUCGAGAAUUUUUCUCAAUGGGGGAAACCCUGAAGGAGCGACGCCGCGUGGGGGAUGAAUGGCUUCGGCCCGUAAACCCCUGUCAUCUGCGAGCAAUUGCUCCGGUUGAACAAAUCGGAGUUUGAUAGUAGCAGAAGAGGAAGGGACGGCUAACUCUGUGCCAGCAGCCGCGGUAAUACAGAGGUCCCAAGCGUUGUUCGGAUUUACUGGGCGUAAAGGGUGCGUAGGCGGUCAAAAAAGUCUGAUGUGAAAUCUCGGAGCCUAACUCCGAAACUGCAUUGGAAACUGUUUGACUUGAGGAGUGGAGGGGAGACUGGAAUUCUCGGUGUAGCAGUGAAAUGCGUAGAUAUCGAGAGGAACACCAGUGGCGAAGGCGAGUCUCUAGACAUUUCCUGACGCUGANGCACGAAAGCCNAAGGGAGCAAACGGGAUUAGAUACCCCGGUAGUCUUGGCUGUAAACGGUGCGCAUUUGCUGUGGGCGGAUUCGACCCCGCCAGUGGCGAAGCUAACGCGAUAAAUGCGCCGCCNGGGGAGUANGGUCGCAAGAUUAAAACUCANNAAAUUGACGGGGGCCUGCACAAGCGGNGGAG
Molecule: ribosomal RNA, 928 nt
Filed under: uncultured bacterium
Lineage: Bacteria
Description: bacterial SSU rRNA
Rfam family: Bacterial small subunit ribosomal RNA
Source: RNAcentral